This 253-nucleotide ribosomal RNA is filed under the name uncultured bacterium. RNAcentral describes it as "partial 16S ribosomal RNA". It matches the Rfam family "Bacterial small subunit ribosomal RNA", at positions 524 to 776 of the family's 1533-position model. The record is from RNAcentral.
UACGUAGGGGGCUAGCGUUGUCCGGAAUCAUUGGGCGUAAAGCGCGUGUAGGCGGCCCGGUAAGUCCGCUGUGAAAACUCGAGGCUCAACCUCGAGACGCCGGUGGAAACCGUAAAGCUAGAGUCCGGAAGAGGAGAGUGGAAUUCCUGGUGUAGCGGUGAAAUGCGCAGAUAUCAGGAGGAACACCCGUGGCGAAAGCGGCUCUCUGGGACGGUACUGACGCUGAGACGCGAAAGCGUGGGGAGCAAACAGG